This 468-nucleotide ribosomal RNA is filed under the name uncultured bacterium. Its description in RNAcentral is "partial 16S ribosomal RNA". It matches the Rfam family "Bacterial small subunit ribosomal RNA", at positions 28 to 507 of the family's 1533-position model. The record is from RNAcentral.
GACGAACGCUGGCGGCGUGCUUAACACAUGCAAGUCGAACGGAAAGGCCCUGCUUUUGUGGGGUGCUCGAGUGGCGAACGGGUGAGUAACACGUGGGUAACCUGCCCUUGACUUUGGGAUAACUUCAGGAAACUGGGGCUAAUACCGGAUAGGAGCUCCUGCUGCAUGGUGGGGGUUGGAAAGUUUCGGCGGUUGGGGAUGGACUCGCGGCUUAUCAGCUUGUUGGUGGGGUAGUGGCUUACCAAGGCUUCGACGGGUAGCCGGCCUGAGAGGGUGACCGGCCACAUUGGGACUAAGAUACGGCCCAGACUCCUACGGGAGGCAGCAGUGGGGAAUAUUGCACAAUGGGCGGAAGCCUGAUGCAGCAACGCCGCGUGCGGGAUGACGGCCUUCGGGUUGUAAACCGCUUUCGCCUGUGACGAAGCGUGAGUGACGGUAAUGGGUAAAGAAGCACCGGCUAACUACGUG